Molecule: ribosomal RNA, 470 nt
Filed under: uncultured bacterium
Lineage: Bacteria
Description: bacterial SSU rRNA
Rfam family: Bacterial small subunit ribosomal RNA
Source: RNAcentral
CUGGCGGCGUGCCUAACACAUGCAAGUCGAACGAGCGCAAGGAGCUUGCUCCUGUUGCGAGUGGCGGACGGGUGAGUAACGCGUGAGGAACCUGCCCUUGAGAGGGGGAUAACGUCCGGAAACGGACGCUAAUACCGGCAUAACAUGUUCAAAUCGCAUGGUUUGAACAUCAAAGGAGCAAUCCGCUGAAGGAUGGACCUCGCGUCUGAUUAGAGUAGUUGGUGAGGUAACGGCUCACCAAGUCGACGAUCAGUAGCCGGACUGAGAGGUUGAUCGGCCACAUUGGGACUGAGACACGGCCCAGACUCCUACGGGAGGCAGCAGUGAGGGAUAUUGCACAAUGGGGGAAACCCUGAUGCAGCAACGCCGCGUGAAGGAAGACGGUUUUCGGAUUGUAAACUUCUGUUUUGGGUGACGAUAAUGACGGUAGCCCGAUAGAAAGCCACGGCUAACUACGUGCCAGCCGCCGC